RNAcentral lists this long non-coding RNA (432 nucleotides) under Homo sapiens (human). RNAcentral describes it as "HSALNT0197131". Lineage: Eukaryota; Metazoa; Chordata; Mammalia; Primates; Hominidae. The record is from RNAcentral.
GAAUUCUUUGCAAAAAUAGAAAACCAAAUGAUUUCCCAAAAUUACUGAGGUACUUAUUAGAGAAUAAGAAAGAUUAAGCUUUUUCUCUCAAUACAGGUGCGACCCAUCAUGGUUUCUGUAUGUGUUUUUCUAGCAAGACAAAUGCCGGGAACUGAUUGGCUUGUGUUUUAUCUCGCAUUGCCUUGGGAAAUGAGCCUACUGUGUGGUCUAAGAUACAGGAAAAGAAAUGAUGGGAUAUAUUUGAUCAAGAAAACUUGCUGAGCCAAACAUCAAGCCAUUGGCCAGGAAUCUCCCCUGUAGUGACCCCAAGUGGGGUCAAGUAGGUGGAAGUUACUACCUGGUUUCUCUAAGCUGCUGAUGGGCAUUCGCUGCCUACAAGGAGAGAGAGAAUGGAAGGAUCUUUCAAACACUUUCCACUCUUCCCCAUAUUGG